RNAcentral lists this transfer RNA (68 nucleotides) under Marmota monax (woodchuck). RNAcentral describes it as "tRNA.Ala". The record is from RNAcentral. Lineage: Eukaryota; Metazoa; Chordata; Mammalia; Rodentia; Sciuridae.
GGAUAUAGCUCAGUUGGUUGAGUGCUUGCCUUGCAAGCACAAGGCCCUGAGUUCGAUACGCAGCACCA